Molecule: ribosomal RNA, 468 nt
Filed under: uncultured bacterium
Lineage: Bacteria
Description: partial 16S ribosomal RNA
Rfam family: Bacterial small subunit ribosomal RNA
Source: RNAcentral
GACGAACGCUGGCGGCGUGCUUAACACAUGCAAGUCGAACGGAAAGGCCCUGCUUUUGUGGGGUGCUCGAGUGGCGAACGGGUGAGUAACACGUGAGUAACCUGCCCCUGACUUUGGGAUAACUUCAGGCAACUGGGGCUAAUACCGCCUAGGAGCUCCCGCUGCAUGGUGGGGGUUGGAAAGUUUCGGCGGUUGGGGAUGGACUGGCGGCGCAUCGGCUUGUUGGUGGGGUAGUGGCUUACCAAGGCUUGGACGGGUAGCCGGGCUGAGCGGGUGACCGGCCACAUUGGGACGGAGAUACGGCCCGGCCUCGUACGGGAGGGAGCGGUGGGGUAUAGUGCACAAUGGGCGGAAGCCUGAUGCAGCAAAGCCGCGUGGGGGAUGACGGCCUGCGGGUUGUAAUCCGCUUUCGCCUGUGACGAAGCGUGAGUGACGGUAAUGGGUAAAGAAGCUCCGGCUAACUACGUG